Drosophila pseudoobscura is the source of this 931-nucleotide long non-coding RNA. RefSeq lists it as uncharacterized. NCBI's taxonomy places the organism in Eukaryota, Metazoa, Arthropoda, Insecta, Diptera, Drosophilidae. The transcript is spliced from 2 exons. The record is from RefSeq and is a predicted model, not a curated record.
AUUUUGAAUUUGUCACUGUCGCGGUUUGUUGGCAGUAAGUGGCUGACAGCUCUCUGCUCCGGCUAUCCCCGUGGUUGCCAAUGAGACACGGAGCGGCACUCGAAACAAAUUGCCACAUCCAGGAUGCCUCGUCUGAGGGCGUGGAACGACUCGUCUGGUUCGUGCACCUUGGCAACCGCAGCAAUAACCUCGACUUUGCCGCAUAAAUCUUCAUCAGUCAAAGUAAGAAGAACAACAGCGAAACCACUGCCACUUCCACUGCCGCUGACACUGUAUCUCCUCUGCAGUAGCAGCUACAGCAUUUUCAGAAACGCCUGAGCUUCCUGGUUCUACUUCUGUCUCCGCUUCUGCUCAGUGAUUUAUAAUGAAAAGUUGCCAGUCGCGUCGCCGGUUUCAGUGCUAACGAAAUGCAAACAUGCAUACUAAUUACAUUUAAAACCGUCGGCUAAGCCAAGUUAAGCACGAGAAUAAAUCCUUUUCAGCUCAGCCAGGAGCAGGAGGAGCAGGAGCCGGAGCGAGAUAUGAAAAAAAAUGAUUACAAGUGUAGGAUGUGUAAAGGGAUCUGAUCUCCUCUCCGCUGGUGCCUCAUCCCUGGAAAUUAUUUGUAAAUGCUGUUUAAGGCCGCCGCUGAGAGGCUUUUCUUUCCCCUCUCGACUUUUCCGCAGCUCGUGCUUAUUAUUUGCAUAUUUAUGCUGGAGCAGGGAGCAAAGCGCAUAGAGAUGGAAAUGUUUGGGUCUAAGAGGCAGCGAAACUGUGGUUACUCUUUGUGUGGCUUUGGGUGUGUCCGUGCCCGUGCUGGAUGUGUUGGGACAUGUGCUCUCCCACUCCCUGCCAUAAUCAAUCGCACUUGGAAUGGAACAAUCUAUGCUAAUUCUUUGUUUGUAACAAAAAACAAAAAAGAGAAAAUAAAAUGAGUUAUUUCCUACUGCCA